UGAGAGGUUUGUGAUGUGAGAAUAGGAGGAUUGGUGUUCGAUGUGUUCGAUUGGUUGUUAUAGUUAAUUGUAAACCGAGAAUCUGUCACUGUUUUUGCUUUUGCUAUUGGUUUAGUUGAAGUUAAAGGGAGAAGAAGAAGAAGGAAAACUGCAAAUUGAAGCAGCAUGGGUCUUCAAAAAGAGUUAAUUUUGUGGAAAAAUCGUAAGUAAAUGAGAUUAAACGUGUAUGGGUCUUCAAAAAGAGUGGUGUGAAGCAGUUUGCCAAAUACUACCCGAAAUAGUCGCUCUAAGAUGAGAAGUCACUUGUCUCCCGGAAAGAGCCAACUUUAGAGUUUAUUUCUGUAGUUAAUACGCUUUUAGUUAUCUGUUUAUGAAGAAUCUUGUAAGGUUGUGCUGCAAAAACAGUCAUUCAUACGAGUUGGCCUUAUUUUUUGUUUUGAGCAAAGAGUUGCCUUACUGGUUUU
Long non-coding RNA from Papaver somniferum (opium poppy), 464 nucleotides. RefSeq lists it as uncharacterized. NCBI's taxonomy places the organism in Eukaryota, Viridiplantae, Streptophyta, Magnoliopsida, Ranunculales, Papaveraceae. The transcript is spliced from 4 exons. The record is from RefSeq and is a predicted model, not a curated record.